Molecule: unclassified non-coding RNA, 230 nt
Filed under: uncultured Orbiliales
Lineage: Eukaryota; Fungi; Ascomycota; Orbiliomycetes; Orbiliales
Description: sequence contains ITS2
Source: RNAcentral
AACACCCUCCGGCCCGCGGUUUUUGCGAACCGCGGGCGCGGGCCCAUGGCGUGGGGAUUGCGGCCGCCUCGCUCCGGCGAGGCCCGGCCUUCCCCCGCUUAAACGCGGAGAAAAGCUAGCGGGCAUGUGCCCCCGAUCGCGACGACUCGUAGAUUUAUUUCUUGUCGGCGGGCAUCGGGAGCGACCCCGCCUUAAACCGAGGGAGAGCCCCCAGCGGGCGACCCCCAGAA